GGCCUAAAUGCCCUAUGUAGUCGUUUGAUCGCCUGAGAUUUCGACGAAAGAUUUAUCGGUAUUGGAUGGGGGAUGCGUCUGAUUAGCUUGUUGGCGGGGUAAAGGCCCCACCAAGGCAACGAUCAGUAGGGGUUUCUGAGAGGAAGGUCCCCCACAUUGGAACUGAGACACGGUCCAAACUCCUACGGGAGGCAGCAGUGAGGAAUAUUGGUCAAUGGGCGAGAGCCUGAACCAGCCAAGUAGCGUGCAGGAUGACGGCCCUAUGGGUUGUAAACUGCUUUUAUAUGGGAAUAAAGUGAGGGGACGUGUCCCUUUAUUGCAUGUACCAUACGAAUAAGGACCGGCUAAUUCCGUGCCAGCAGCCGCGGUAAAU
RNAcentral lists this ribosomal RNA (373 nucleotides) under uncultured Prevotella sp. RNAcentral's name for it is "bacterial SSU rRNA". It matches the Rfam family "Bacterial small subunit ribosomal RNA", at positions 159 to 525 of the family's 1533-position model. The record is from RNAcentral. Lineage: Bacteria; Pseudomonadati; Bacteroidota; Bacteroidia; Bacteroidales; Prevotellaceae.